CAAAAAGGGGAGCUUUGAAGAGGCUGAGAGUAAGCAAAACUAUGCUUAGACCCGUGACCUGAUUCGGAUAAUGCCGACGUAGGGAUAUACAGG
This 93-nucleotide non-coding RNA is filed under the name uncultured Ruminococcus sp. Lineage: Bacteria; Bacillati; Bacillota; Clostridia; Eubacteriales; Oscillospiraceae. The record is from RNAcentral.